Cephus cinctus (wheat stem sawfly) is the source of this 1199-nucleotide long non-coding RNA. RefSeq lists it as uncharacterized. The record is from RefSeq and is a predicted model, not a curated record. The transcript has 3 exons. NCBI's taxonomy places the organism in Eukaryota, Metazoa, Arthropoda, Insecta, Hymenoptera, Cephidae.
CCCCUACUACUCUCAAGACGUCUAGACCCGCUCCUUUAAGAAACAACGCCGCCGUCUCUUUCUUCGUCGAGAAGUCCCACGGAUUGAGGCCCUAAAGAUCCAAGUGAGGGAAAAGUUACAUUUUUACAACUCACUCCCCCAGAAUUACGUAUAUGCGUCGUUCUCCGUCCAGCACAAUGAAUAAACAUUCUUAUGGAUUAGGCGAAUCCUGAAAAAUCAAGAGUCUUAGAAUGUCACGCAUUCCGGCAUCCUUAUACAUUCAUUCAAAUGUAAAUGCCGUGCCGAUUAUGCUUCGCUACAUUGUACGCAGAGAGAAUGUUCUGUGAAUGAUUUAGAACAACCAUAACGAAGGACAUGUUAGGUUAAAGAAGAGAAAUUAAAUAUAAGGGAACAGGUGGAAGAAAGAAGAAAAAAAAGAAUACAAGAAAAUGGAAACGUUAGCGUACAGCCGAUACAACGACCUCGUGGCUAUGUCAAAGUUAUACCCAACCAAGAGAUGCUGCUGCGGAUACCAGCUUUUAAUUCAGACGCAGAACAACAAGCGUCCAUUCAAAAAUCCAAUCGAAUGACACGAUGACUUUCUCAGUUGGGUCCAACUGGGCAUUUACAUUACGUAAUUGGUGAGGCGCAUUCGCAAAGAUAUUCAACGGUCCUCAUUUAACCGACCAGUCUCCCGUGGCCCAAUUUAUCUCUAAUCUUUUACACUGUUUGGAGAAAUCUGCGUGGUUCGUCGUACACUGUUACUCAACGACUGUAUAAAAGGUGUCCUUUUAGUCACAGUUGAGGAACGACAUAAACGUAAAGGUCUUUACGUCUUUCUGUAUGGCGUAUUAUAAAAUCUUGGUCUCUUAAGCUAUCAUGAGUCAUGUCAAUACUUUUAAUUUUUUUUAUACUCAAUAUAUAUAUAUAUGUACGCACACGUACAUCACAAAGAUACUCUGCUCGUAUAGUACUUAAUUAUUUAUACUUCUAGUCUUAUGGUAUGAAUACAUAUUCGAAACACGAUUCUGUCCUAGAAAUUAUGAUUAUUAUUAUUAUCAACAGUAGACUAGUCAUUUCCUGAAUUCUUCCUAGUAGUACACAAUGCUUCCAAGUGUUACGAAAGUCUUGUUAAAAAUUGCGACGUAGAAGUAGGUACUUACUAUUGUCAAAUAAUAACCUAUGACUCUGUUAUAAAAUGUCUGCUUUAAAUUGCCCAA